RNAcentral lists this ribosomal RNA (504 nucleotides) under uncultured bacterium. Its description in RNAcentral is "partial 16S ribosomal RNA". It matches the Rfam family "Bacterial small subunit ribosomal RNA", at positions 28 to 507 of the family's 1533-position model. The record is from RNAcentral.
GACGAACGCUGGCGGCGUGCUUAACACAUGCAAGUCGAACGGUGAAGCGCUUGCCUUUUUGGUGGGUGUGGAUGAGUGGCGAACGGGUGAGUAACACGUGAGUAACCUGCCCUCUUCUUCUGGAUAACCUCAUGAAAGUGGGGCUAAUACGGGGUAUUCCGGGUCUGUCGCAUGGCGGGUUUGGGAAAGAUUGCGCCUUUGGGUGUUUUCGGUGGGGGAUGGGCUCGCGGCCUAUCAGCUUGUUGGUGGGGUGAGGGCCUACCAAGGCGGUGACGGGUAGCCGGCCUGAGGGGGUGGACGCCCGAACUGGGACUGAGACACGGCCCAGACUCCUGCGGGAGGCGGCAGUGGGGAAUAUUGCGCGAUGGGCGCAAGCCUGAUGCAGCGACGCCGCGUGAGGGAUGGAGGCCUUCGGGUUGUGAACCUCUUUCGCCAGUGAAGCAGGCCUGCUCCUGUGUGGGUGGGUUGACGGUAGCUGGAUAAGAAGCGCCGGCUAACUACGUG